RNAcentral lists this ribosomal RNA (1453 nucleotides) under Klebsiella quasipneumoniae. Its description in RNAcentral is "bacterial SSU rRNA". It matches the Rfam family "Bacterial small subunit ribosomal RNA". The record is from RNAcentral. Lineage: Bacteria; Pseudomonadati; Pseudomonadota; Gammaproteobacteria; Enterobacterales; Enterobacteriaceae.
AGAGUUUGAUCAUGGCUCAGAUUGAACGCUGGCGGCAGGCCUAACACAUGCAAGUCGAGCGGUAGCACAGAGAGCUUGCUCUCGGGUGACGAGCGGCGGACGGGUGAGUAAUGUCUGGGAAACUGCCUGAUGGAGGGGGAUAACUACUGGAAACGGUAGCUAAUACCGCAUAACGUCGCAAGACCAAAGUGGGGGACCUUCGGGCCUCAUGCCAUCAGAUGUGCCCAGAUGGGAUUAGCUAGUAGGUGGGGUAACGGCUCACCUAGGCGACGAUCCCUAGCUGGUCUGAGAGGAUGACCAGCCACACUGGAACUGAGACACGGUCCAGACUCCUACGGGAGGCAGCAGUGGGGAAUAUUGCACAAUGGGCGCAAGCCUGAUGCAGCCAUGCCGCGUGUNACUUUCAGCGGGGAGGAAGGCGAUAAGGUUAAUAACCUUGUCGAUUGACGUUACCCGCAGAAGAAGCACCGGCUAACUCCGUGCCAGCAGCCGCGGUAAUACGGAGGGUGCAAGCGUUAAUCGGAAUUACUGGGCGUAAAGCGCACGCAGGCGGUCUGUCAAGUCGGAUGUGAAAUCCCCGGGCUCAACCUGGGAACUGCAUUCGAAACUGGCAGGCUAGAGUCUUGUAGAGGGGGGUAGAAUUCCAGGUGUAGCGGUGAAAUGCGUAGAGAUCUGGAGGAAUACCGGUGGCGAAGGCGGCCCCCUGGACAAAGACUGACGCUCAGGUGCGAAAGCGUGGGGAGCAAACAGGAUUAGAUACCCUGGUAGUCCACGCCGUAAACGAUGUCGAUUUGGAGGUUGUGCCCUUGAGGCGUGGCUUCCGGAGCUAACGCGUUAAAUCGACCGCCUGGGGAGUACGGCCGCAAGGUUAAAACUCAAAUGAAUUGACGGGGGCCCGCACAAGCGGUGGAGCAUGUGGUUUAAUUCGAUGCAACGCGAAGAACCUUACCUGGUCUUGACAUCCACAGAACUUAGCAGAGAUGCUUUGGUGCCUUCGGGAACUGUGAGACAGGUGCUGCAUGGCUGUCGUCAGCUCGUGUUGUGAAAUGUUGGGUUAAGUCCCGCAACGAGCGCAACCCUUAUCCUUUGUUGCCAGCGGUUAGGCCGGGAACUCAAAGGAGACUGCCAGUGAUAAACUGGAGGAAGGUGGGGAUGACGUCAAGUCAUCAUGGCCCUUACGACCAGGGCUACACACGUGCUACAAUGGCNGUCGUAGUCCGGAUUGGAGUCUGCAACUCGACUCCAUGAAGUCGGAAUCGCUAGUAAUCGUAGAUCAGAAUGCUACGGUGAAUACGUUCCCGGGCCUUGUACACACCGCCCGUCACACCAUGGGAGUGGGUUGCAAAAGAAGUAGGUAGCUUAACCUUCGGGAGGGCGCUUACCACUUUGUGAUUCAUGACUGGGGUGAAGUCGUAACAAGGUAACCGUAGGGGAACCUGCGGUUGGAUCACCU